RNAcentral lists this ribosomal RNA (433 nucleotides) under uncultured Oscillospiraceae bacterium. Its description in RNAcentral is "partial 16S ribosomal RNA". It matches the Rfam family "Bacterial small subunit ribosomal RNA", at positions 341 to 792 of the family's 1533-position model. The record is from RNAcentral. Lineage: Bacteria; Bacillati; Bacillota; Clostridia; Eubacteriales; Oscillospiraceae.
ACGGGAGGCAGCAGUGGGGGAUAUUGGUCAAUGGGGGAAACCCUGAACCAGCGACGCCGCGUGAAGGAAGAAGGUUUUCGGAUUGUAAACUUCUGUCUUCAGGGAAAAUAAUGAUGGUACCUGAGGAGGAAGCCACGGCUAACUACGUGCCAGCAGCCGCGGUAAUACGUAGGUGGCAAGCGUUGUCCGGAAUUAUUGGGUGUAAAGGGAGCGUAGGCGGAUACAUAAGUUGGUUGUGAAAACUAUAGGCUUAACUUGUAGUUGCGACCAAAACUGUGUACCUUGAGUGUGCUAGAGGUAAGUGGAAUUCCCAGUGUAGCGGUGAAAUGCGUAGAUAUUGGGAGGAACACCAGUGGCGAAGGCGACUUACUGGGGCAUAACUGACGCUGAGGCUCGAAAGCAUGGGUAGCAAACAGGAUUAGAUACCCUGGUA